ACUCAAAGGAAUUGACGGGGGCCCGCACAAGCGGUGGAGCAUGUGGUUUAAUUCGACGCAACGCGCAGAACCUUACCAGGGUUUGACAUCCUGUGCUCGCUCCAGAGAUGGAGUCUUCCCGCAAGGGACGCAGAGACAGGUGCUGCAUGGCUGUCGUCAGCUCGUGUCGUGAGAUGUUGGGUUAAGUCCCGCAACGAGCGCAACCCUCGCCUUUAGUUGCCAUCAUUCAGUUGGGCACUCUAGAGGGACCGCCGGCGGCAAGCCGGAGGAAGGUGGGGAUGAAGUCAAGUCAUCAUGGCCCUUACACCCUGGGCUACACACGUGCUACAAUGGCGGUGACAAUGGGCAGCCAACUCGCGAGAGUGAGCUAAUCCCAAAAAACCGUCCCAGUUCAGAUUGCACUCUGCAACUCGGGUGCAUGAAGGUGGAAUCGCUAGUAAUCGCAGAACAGCAGGCUGCGGUGAAUACGUUCCCGGGCCUUGUACACACCGCCCGU
Molecule: ribosomal RNA, 496 nt
Filed under: uncultured bacterium
Lineage: Bacteria
Description: partial 16S ribosomal RNA
Rfam family: Bacterial small subunit ribosomal RNA
Source: RNAcentral